Bemisia tabaci is the source of this 937-nucleotide non-coding RNA. The record is from RefSeq and is a predicted model, not a curated record. NCBI's taxonomy places the organism in Eukaryota, Metazoa, Arthropoda, Insecta, Hemiptera, Aleyrodidae.
UAGCUGUCGAGGUUCGGAUCACACAUCUGAAAUUUCAGUUCUUACAUUACACCGGACGAGAAUUCUCGUUAAGUCAACCGGAAAUCUCUUCAAAGUUACUUAGACGCUCUGUGAAAUAACAGAAGUAACGUUUGAAACAAAGAGAUUGCCUGUUAACUCGACGAAAAUUCUUAUCCAGGAAUUAUUAAUCGGAAUUUUUAUUGAUCCAACACAAAAUUUUUCUCAAUGCAUCUGUAUCGAACUAAGUAUUUGUUGCAGUAUAGCGGAAAGCUCAAAUUCUUGAAAAUUCCGCGCAAAUGAAACAAAAAUCAAAUUCAUGCGGAAGUUUUUAAAGCAGAUUUGGAAGUUAAGGGUUUACCUUAGACUUUGUCACAGCACUAAUAUUUAUUUUUGCACCAAUUUUCAUGAAAAGCAACUCUUUCCCUCCAUCCUGCUGAAGUUUGCAACAAACCGAAUCAGAAAUGUUACAAUUUUCCUAAGACAAAAAUCCCCUUGAUUCGGUAAAUCGACUGAUCGUCUGAAGUUUCGUUCACUGUUUAUUUCAGGUUCAUCGAUGCAUCCUGGCAUGGUGGACUCUUCUCACAAUCAAAUGAAACACAACUGCCCAAAAUGUGGCCGCAACUACAAGUGGCCCAGCAGCCUGAGAUUCCACCUCGUCAACGAGUGUGGGAAAGAGCCACAGCAAAAAUGUCCCAUCUGCGCCUACAAAACUAAACAAAAAUCCAACCUAUCGAAACACAUUAAAUUAGUGCAUGGAGUUAUGAUUGGAUGAUCAAUCUUUAAUUCUCAUGUUGACGUCAGUCCAUCCUAACAAGAUGUACCGAUGCCCGAGGUGCGACCGCGGUUACAAACGGCGCGGAAGUAUGAAGUUCCAUUUCCUCCACGAGUGUGGCGUCGCGCCCAAAGAAAAGUGCAUGUUCUGUGAUUAUAUUACCAA